UGAGGAAUCUUCCACAAUGGACGAAAGUCUGAUGGAGCGACACCGCGUGAAGGAUGAAGGUCUAACGACUGUAAACUUCUUUUCUGAGGGAGCAUAAUGAGAGUACUUCAGGAAUAAGGGACGGCUAAUCACGUGCCAGCAGCCGCGGUAAUACGUGAGUCCCAAGCGUUACUCGGAAUUAUUGGGUGUAAAGGGUCCGUAGGUGGGAAAAUAAGUCAGGUAUGAAAGACCGGAGCUCAACUCCGUGUUUGUGCUUGAAACUAUUUUUCUAGAAUCAGGGAGAGGUUAGCGGAAUUCUAAGUGUAGGGGUGCAAUCCGUAGAUACUUAGAAGAACACCAAAAGCGAAGGCAGCUAACUGGAACUGUAUUGACACUGAGGGACGAAAGCGUGGGGAGCAAA
This 400-nucleotide ribosomal RNA is filed under the name uncultured bacterium. RNAcentral's name for it is "bacterial SSU rRNA". It matches the Rfam family "Bacterial small subunit ribosomal RNA", at positions 355 to 772 of the family's 1533-position model. The record is from RNAcentral.